RNAcentral lists this long non-coding RNA (35209 nucleotides) under Ananas comosus (pineapple). RNAcentral's name for it is "long non-coding RNA (ACOM_LNC020242)". The record is from RNAcentral. Lineage: Eukaryota; Viridiplantae; Streptophyta; Magnoliopsida; Poales; Bromeliaceae.
AUUAAAUAACUUGCAAGCUGCUAAUUCAGAUAUUAUCCCAAAAUAAUAUUAUCCUAUUCUCUAUAUGUAUGAUAUGGUGUCAGAUUGGUAUAAGUCUCCUUUAUUUGUACUAUUUUUUUUUUUAAAAAAAUCUGGAGAUAAAUGAAACAGCCUAGGUUGAUUACUUAUGCAUAGUAUAUCUGGAGGGUAAGGGCACAAUGAAGAUAUUGCCGUCAAGAAUAUCAAAGAUAGGACUUUGCAAAUAAUCCAAAUUUUAAAUAUUGAGAUUCGUACUUUCUGUUUUGUGAUUGUUAUGGUUUCUCUUUUUUGAGGGAUAUUGAUCUAACAAUUUUCACCUUUUGCUCUCAGUGGCGAUGGACGUGGGUGUUGACGUUUUGCUCUGGUGAUGCUGCAGGUUGCGGCUUGUGGAUAAGCUGAUUUUCUGUUUGAAAAUUGUCGGUCUCUCAGGUUGGUUUUCCUGGUGUUCCUCUCUAUUGUGCAUUGAAAGUCCCCAGAUUUUCUUUGCUUCGGGUUCUGUUUCUUUGCCUCAGGUUAAUUACUUUUCUCUUUCUAGGGUCUGUCUCUAUUUUCUGCUAAAUUUUUCGCUGCCAUGAGAUUUCUCUAUUUCUGUUGGGUGCAGUUAUGGCAUCAGUUAGUGUUAUUGUUGUUCAGUUUUGUAAGGGUGAAGGUGUGAAAAUAUGAUAAUUAGUGCCCACCCUUUGGAUGGCUUACUGUGUAGGCAACCAGUUGGCACCAUUUUCUUGAAAUAUGGACUUGAAAUGGGAGCAUUUUCAGCGUUAAUUGCUGGUUAAAUCUGAGCCUUAUAUAUUUCUUAUUCUCUUUUUACUUUGAUUUUUGUUGGUUAUCGUGGGCUUGAAAUUUUCAUUAUUUGUUAAAUUUUAUUUUACAUUUCAGAGCCUACAUAUUAAAACAUGAUGUUGUAAAGUACUAGAAAAUGUAUAAAUCGUUCGCAUGCAAUUAGUUACUGUAUUUUAUGUUGAAAAAUCUGGUUUAUCCUAUUGUAAUUGUCUUUAUUUAUUUCUUAUCCAGAUUUUGUUGGGAAAAGUUUUGGGUUUUUUUUAUAGUUUGUGAUUCAUAUUCUUGCGUUGAUAUCUUGAAAUAUAUUGACGUAUUGAUGUAAUGUGUCUUGGCUUACAUUGGCUUCUUUUGGUCCUUUUCCUGUUAUGUACAGGUGCAGGGUUGUCUUUGCCAUUUUGUAUCGUUGUUAUUCCUCAGCAUAUAUAUAUAAAAAGUUCUCUAUAAUAACACAGCAAAGAGAAGGCCCAAGAUGCAAUCUUUUAUUCAUACACAAAUUACAUCAAUGGCUUUGCUGCUUCCCUCGAAGAAGAAGAAGCAAUGGAGAUCUCAAGUGAGUAAAAGAGCACCAUUUUAUUUAGGGGAAACUUCAAAAACAUCCCUUGUGGUUUCAAUUUUUUUCGCUUUAGUACCCUGUGGUUUAAAAUGUAUCAAGUUAGUAUCCUGUGGUUUCUUAUUUUAUCACUUUAGUACCCUGUGGUUUUAAUUUUGUAUCAAGUUAGUACCCUGUGGUUUUUCACUUUAUCACUUUAGUACCCUGUGGUUUUAAUUUUGUAUCAAGUUAGUACCCUGUGGUUUUUCACAGGGGAGGUUUUUGAAGUUUUCCCUUUUAUUUAUAUCCCUCUGUUCUCUUUUUGCUAUACUCUGUUUUGAUUUUUUUUAAUAUAUAUAUAUAUAUAUAUAUAUAUAUAUAUAUAUAUAUAUAUAUAUAUAUAUAUAUUGCAGAGGAUUCCAGUGUUGUAUCAGUGUUUCUGCCUAAUCUUUGGAUGGCCUAUCAUGUAGGCAACAGUUGGCGCUGUUUUCUUGAAAUAUGGACUUGAAGUUGGAGCAUUUUUAGUGUUGAUUGCUGAGUAAAUCUGAGUCUUAUAUAUUUCUUAUUCUCUUUUUUAUUUCUAUUGAUUUUAUGUGAUUUGCAUGAUAUGGGGAGAUAGGAUUAUAUAAAGUUAAAUUUCAAUAUAUACAAUUAUUGAAUGCAAAAUAUAAUCCCGUUAUUCUUGGGAUUACAAAAUUUACAUAAUUACAUUCUAGAAAUGUACAAUAUUUGAAUCCAAAUAUUUUCUAUUUAGAGUGGUUGCCAUACUUGAGAGAUUGUCAUUCUUGAGUUUCCACAAUUGCUUAUGAUUAUGUGGCUUGCCAUUUGAUACAAUUUAUUUAUGCUUAGGAGUUGACACAUUUACGGUUACUGCCUAUUAUGUUUUUGCUUAAUUCUUUGUGGUGCCCAAAUUGGAGCAGUUUGGAGCUCCGAGCAGUUUUUAUGUUGGUGGAUGAUUAAAUCUAAGUCCCAACUGUUUUUUCCCCAUUCAAUUUUGAGCUAUUCACUGUGGUGGUUCUUGCUUUUGGGUCAUAAAAAUUGCUGCAGUUUUAGUUAGUAAAAAAUGGAAUGAAAACUCAUUAGUUUAGGCGCAUGUUUUGCAACCUAUCCUUGCUCAACUAUUGGAGAUUUGGUUUGUGCAUUUAUGUGGACACUUUUUAAAAUUAUAUAUAUAUUUUUUUAUUUUCCAGCUAAGACUUAGGUGCUUGGAGGAUCAAUAUUGCAUCUGUUUUCAAAUGUACGUGUACUUUUCCUUUUUAUUUUCCUAUAAAAAAUUUUAAAUACUUUCCUGUUUAUAUACAGUUUUGCUUAUGUGGUCUUUGUAGUUAUCAUUAUUAAAAUCUUAGCAGAUUAUUAAUCUAUUUGGUUUCGUUGUUUGUAGCUUAGCCGUCAUUCUCCUGAUACUUAAGCUGCUAAUAUCAAGAGGACUGGAGUUGUUUACAAAGAAACGCAGGUAUUUUAUCCGUUGAAAGGUUUGGCUUUUACCUUCGGUGGUCACAAUUAGUUAUUUUAUGAGCUAAUACUGUUAUUGUUUUUAAAUUAUAUCUAUAGAGCUUUUUCUUUUUCUUUUUUUUUUUACCAGCUCAACCUUUAGGAGUUUGGAGAGUUUAUGCUGCAUCUGUUUUCGGAAGUAUGUACGAGCCUUAUCUCUGUUUUUUUGGGUUCACAAAUAUCUUAAUUAUCGUCCGUAUUUCUAUAAUGUAAUGACAAAUCAUUCGUAUUUGCAUUAUCCUGCCUUUCUGGUCAAACAUAAUAAUAAUAAUAAUAAUAAUAAUAAUAAUGGCCAAAGUAACAUGAUUUUUUUUGGGUUUUAUCUUUAUUUAAAUUUGAAAUAUAUAUAUGCAUUUUUACUUCAUAUCUUUGGAUAGGAUUCAGAAUUAUUAUUAUUUUAUUAUUACUAUAAUUAUUAGUAUCUUUAUCUUAAUACACAUAAAUUGUUAACUUUACUGUUUUUUAUUUUGAUCCUUAAGCUUUUUUUUGCAAUCAAGUUUUUAAUAUCUUUAUCUUUUUAAACGUGAAUUGUGAACCUUAAAGAAGAUCUCCCUUUAUUUUUAAUGGUUGUGUUCCAACCUUUUUAAUAUUUUUAUUUUAUUUAUCGGUGCGAUAUUCGUAUUUUUAUAUUUGAGUGGUUGGUUUAUGACUACUCUUUGAGGGAAUUAAGACUUGGUUAGUUUAGCUAGCUUUUUGCACUUAGUUGAAUAAUCAGUUUUGGUUCAAAUCUUGCUGAUGCUUGCCCGUAGUGCUUUUUUCUUGGUUGGAUUCAUGCCAUACCUCUGCCUAACUGCCCCCUAUUUUGUAUAUAAAUAGGUUCAUAUUUAGUUCUUAAUUAUAGUACAAAUAAUCUACCUUAUAUUAACUUUUAUUGUUAAUAUUUAUGCUGGGUUUUGAUUCUAUAUACCUUCUAAUCAUCGUAUUAUGAUUCUUUUCUAAAUAGUUUUAGUAAUUUGAUAUGUUCUGAAAAUUAUAUAUUUCUAAGAAAAUAUACUCUUAAGACACGGGGCGAGCUGGAGUGGGUGCGUUCUUUGGUGCACGCGCACGCGGGGGAGUGGGAGUGGGAGUGGGAGUGGGGGCUGGGGCGCAGCCUGGCGUGGAUGCGAGCCCGAGUGUUGUGGGUUGCAUAUAGAAAAAAUUUCUGCAGUUACAUAGUAUUCUGGUUUUGUUCUCCAAGAGAAUUUUCUGGAGAAUUUUUUUUCCUUUUGUUGUAGUUUUAUGUGUUGGCUGACAAAAAAAGGCCUUAUGACUUUAUUUACUGUGUUUUUUUUUUUUCGGACAUUGCUUGAUUUGUAGGGCUUAGCAUUGCGUGACUUACUAUGUAUGAUGGUUUUUUUGCCUUUGAUGCAUAAUAAAAACAAAAAGAUAUUGAUAGUUAUAAUAAUUUACUGUUGUAUUGUUUUUCCGCCGCAUCGCGCGGGUCCGUACCUAGUAUUCGUUUAUUACAUAAUCCUCGUAGAAAACCAAUUCCCCUAGUACGCAUCUCAUCUCAUUCUAGGGAUUUAGUCCACUCCUCCUCCCCACCAAUGUCUCCUCCACACUCUUCUCCUUCCUCUUUCUCUUCCUCCGCUCCCUCCUCUCUCUCCGUGGGAGAAGCAGGGGUCGUAGCAACAAUGGCGUUGUCUUCCUCUUUCGAUCGACUCCCGGAUUGAGAAAUGGGGCCGAGUCCGAGGUGGAUUUUGGUUUGUGAGGGCUUUUGUGGGGUUUGAUCGAAGGGUUUCGGGGAAAUGGUUCGGUCCAAGGUUGCGGUGGAGGAGGAGAUCGAGAAGAGGGCCGUGAGGUAAAAAAAUUUGAUGAGACCCUGGUUUAAUUUGCUGUUUGGAGAUGAAACCCUAAGUAAAGAUUCGAUUUUGGGAAGAGUUUUUAGGUUUUGGGGGUGAAAAUAUGGAGGAGAAUUAAGCUCUUUGCUUUUCUAUGUUAUCAUUAUUGUAUUAUUUAACUAUUGUUUAGCAGAGCUAUCGGAAGAAGCACGGAUUUUUAAUUUUUUCUGCUUUGCUAUAUAGAUGAAACAAAAGCCGCUUAUAACAAUUGCUUCUUGAAGUAGAGAAGCUGGUCCAGAAGCGCUUCCGCUUCUUUCCUUCUUUAUGUUAUUUGUUUAUUCAUUGUUUGUAGUUAAUGCUCUUUGUUUGGUAGAGCUAUUCAGAGAAGCACAGAUACUUUUUUUUAUUAGAAAAGAAACUCUUCGAUAGUUGUGCUAUAUAGCUGAACUAGAAGCCGUUUCGCUAAUGCUUCUUGAAGUAGAGAAGAUGUUUUAAAAGCUUGGCGACAUCAAUAUAUGAUGGUUUACUUGGCCUUUAUUCACAAACUAGUUUUUGUUUUGUAUUCUUUGGACUCGUGUAAUAAGUGUUCUUUUGGCGCAAUUUUUUAAUGUGUUUUUGUGUUUUUUAGUUGAUUAAGUAAAAUUUUUAGAAAUAUUACAUAAUUUUUUUUGGUAUCUAAGCUGAUAGGAACACACACUGCUCAUGGAUUUUAAACAAACAAACAAACAAGAAUGCAUUUUUUUUGUUUUGUAGUAAUAUUUCAAUUAGCAAUUAAAAGUUCUAUCAUUUGUUUAUUCAAAUCACAAUCACAUAUUGACGAGGUACAGAGCUCAUCAUGCGUCCAGUAAUGUUUAUAUCUCAUUUUCACUCGUUUGUGCAUUAAAAAAUAGUGAUCAGAUUCUAUUUGAAAAAAAAAACAGAAUUUUGAAGUAAUUUAGCCUCUCUCUUAUUUAAAUCUUCGCAGGUUUAAAACUGACGAGAAGCAAGACCAGCCUAUACCUGAACAGUCGGUCCCAAAAACCAAAAAACCAGCUUCUAAAAAUGCGGGCCGAAGAUUUCUCAGUUUGUCUAAAUUAUUCUCCGAAGGCCACGAGCCAAGAUCGAAACUAACACUCGAUCCUGACGGUCGUAUUGUGCUCAUAUGGAACCGGAUUUUCCUACUCUCAUGCUUAGCUUCGCUAUGUAUAGACCCUCUAUUCUUCUUCUUACCUUUCGUGGAUGCUACUAAUUGGAGCUUAUGCAUUAGAACGGAUCAGCACUUGAGGAUGGUGCUUACGUACUUUCGGUCUAUUCUCGACUUAUUCUAUAUAGUGCAUAUUGUUGUUAAGUUCCAUAUUGCGUAUGUGGAUCCGAGCUCCAUGGUUCUUGGGAAGGGAGAGCUCGUAAUGGAUCAUAAAAAAAUUGCGAGAAGAUAUAUUAGAUCGGAUUUCUUUGUUGAUCUAAUGGGAGGGUUGCCGUUUCUGCAGGUAACUUUUAGUUUCAAUGCAAAAUUCUCUCCUCUUUAUAAGGGAAUAUCUUAAUUAGACCCUCAUUUUUGCUACUCUCCGUAACUUCUCGGACUUUAUACUCAUUUCAGGGCAUGUGGUUAGGUAUCUUCUUUUAGAGAAACUAAGAAAAGAACAAAAUAUUGUUUCAUUUGGGCUUUUAGUGAAUGAAUUUUGGGAAGCCUCAAGCUCUCACAUAGACAAAAAAAAGCUUCUUAUUUUGUAUUUUGGUUAUUUUACUAGUAUAAAAUAUAAUGGUUUUUUUUUCUUUUUUAAACCCUUGAUGCAGAUUCUCGUCUGGUUUGUAAUGCCCAUGAUCAGUUUUAAUCGCAUAAAUACCCCUUAUCUCCUGAUAAUUUUGAUUCAGUGUACCGUCCGAUUUUACAUAAUAAUUCCUAUAAGCAAACAAAUCAUCAAUGUUGCUGGUUUUAUCGCGAAGACCGCUUGGGGAGGAGCUAUCUACAAUCUACUACUCUACCUGCUGGCAAGCCAUGUAAGCAAAUGUUCUUUGCCGUUCUCAAAUAUUCCAUACUUUUCUUGAUACUUGGGAAGCUGCGAUUCGAUUUAGAAAUGAAAAGGUGUAUCGUCGUGCCCCAAACUAUGGGUCUUAUCGCGAAUCUUUUUUUUAACUUUAGGAAUAUUUAACUUCUGAUGGAAACCUUAUACAAUUUUCUGAAAUUAAACAACAUGUUAGUAGGGGGUUUGAAUAACCAUAAAACUAAUGUGCAAGGAUACAUUUUUGUCCACCUUAGAUUCUUUAGUUCUAUGUCAAUUGAACUUAAAGAAAAUAUCAAGCAUCAAAACCUAUUUUGAUAGGUCGUGGGAUCGAUCUACUAUUUAUUGAUGGUGGAACGACAAGCAACGUGUUGGCAAUCGCAGUGCUUGAUGGAAACCGGCUCCCCAAACACGACUUCUUGUGAAUUUAAGUUUCUUAAUUGUGAAUAUGCUAGUUCGACAGAGGCUCAAAUUUGGGCGAAUACAACGAAUGUGUUCACAAACUGUGAUGCGAGUAACAAAACUAUCCCUUUCAACUACGGCAUAUUUCUUUUGGGAUUGCAAUUCGGUGCUGCUACUGCAUCAUUAUCUGAGAAGUACUUCUACUCUCUAUGGUGGGGCUUUCAACAGUUGAGGUAUAGUUCUAUGUUCUUGGUCUUUAAAAUCUCAAUAAAAGGAUUUAUUAUUUUAUUGGGUUUAUCAUGUUUUAUCUUUCUUAGUUUUUUUUUUUCCAUAGUUUGAACAUGAAUACAUCAUUAAUCGCAUGUGGAAAUGAUGAUAUUAUAUUUUUGGAAUUGUCAUCUGGCUAACAUGGAAAAUCCCCUUUUGUGAAUAUCAUGAUUUGCACUUUGUCCUCUAUACAAUGUUAACGCUUUUUCGUUGCAUCUACUAUGCAAGAACUGUUAGAAAUUAUUGAAAUGCGAUAAAAAAGAAUUAUUUAAAUAAAGUUAUAAUGGGUAUUUAAGAUCAUAUUUCAAUAUUUCCUGGUGAUUAUUAUUCCGGGGGUUAAAUGCAAAUCGUGUAAUCUUUAACGGCUUUUUUUUUUUUUUUUUCUAAAGCACUUAUUAUCCUUCUCUUGAUUUUUUUUCUUUUCUUUUUUCAGCACAUAUGGGAACCCGUUGGUGACAAGCGCUUUCGUUGGUGAAAAUUUAUUCGCCAUCGGACUUACUGUUCUCAGCCUUGGUCUCUUUGCUCAAUUACUUGGUAGCAUGCUGGUAAGUACGAAAUUUCUCUCUCCUCGAACUUUAUCUUUAAUCACAGACCUAAAUAUCACAAUUUUCACUUUGCCCACCUGAAAUACUGCAACCUAUACAUCCAAUUUUUACCAUCGUAAAAAGAAUUCAUCGCUCUGCCUUGUUUGUUGAGCCUUUGUUUAACUUUUUUUUUUUUUUAAUCUGAUUGAUCCUCGAGAGAAUUAGGAAAGAAAGAUAAGAGGCAAAAAAAAAAUCACUCUCUUAACCUAACAUCAAAUUUCUUGUAGAUCUACUUGAGAUCUACAAGCGAAAAUCUCGAAGAGUGGCGGUUGAAGCAAAGAGACACCGAGGAGUGGAUGAAGGAUCACCAGCUCCCCGACAGUAUACAGGAUCGAGUCAGCCGGUUUAUUCAUUACAAGUGGCUCGCGACACGAGGAGUGGAAGAAGAGUCGAUGUUGAAAGCUUUACCUGCCGACCUUCGUCGCGAUAUACAACACCACCUAUGUAUGGAACUCGUUCGACGUGUAAGUGCGGCAAAAAUUAGGAGGUAAAAGUAAAAAAAAAAUGUAUUUCCUUGCUGUGAUUCCAACUCUUUAUGUAAUCGCAGGUUCCGUUCUUCUCGGAGAUGGAUGAUCAACUCCUCGACGCGAUAUGCGAGCGCAUGGUCUCAUUCUUGCGCACCGAGGGCACCUAUAUAAUCCGCGAGGGAGACCCCGUGACCGAGAUGCUCUUCAUAAUCCGCGGGAAGCUAGAGAGCUCCACGACCGACGGGGGCCGUACCGAUUUCUUCAACUCCAUAAUUCUAAAACCCGGGGAUUUCUGCGGGGAGGAGCUCCUCACUUGGGCUUUACUUCCCACCACCGAAUUCAAGUACCUCUUGUCGACAAGAACCGUCAAAACGCUCGUCGAGGUCGAGGCGUUUGCGUUGCGUGCCGAGGAUCUCAAGUUCGUUGCCAACCAGUUCAGAAAACUGCACAGCAAGAGGCUUCAACACACAUUCCGGUUCGAUGAACUUGUUAAAUUAUAUAAAACAACCGUUUUUAAUAUUUAUAUUUAACACCCCCUUUCACGUCUAAGCUCGAAACUUUUUGAUAGGCGUGAGAUGCGGACUUUUAAAUAAAUGAGAGGAGAUUAAAUAACGAUAGUGGCCGGGCGGGACGGACUGUGGAUCUCUUGCUCUGAUAUCAUAUUAAAGAAUGUGAAAUAGUCGUUUCGCCAGAAGCAUAAGAUGCUAGAGAAUGGUGUUUUUAAUUUCUAUAUUCAACAUAACCGUUUGUUCUCUGGUUUGCAAAUGUAUUAUAUUUAACGUGUGGUGGAUUUUGUUCGCUUGUACUCUGAUACCAUGUGAAAAAACUGCUUUAUCUAAAAGCUUAAGCUGUCCGAGAAUGGUAUUUUAAUAUGUUAUGUAUCGACAGGUUCUACUCGUACCAUUGGAGGACGUGGGCUGCGUGCUUCAUACAGGCGGCGUGGCGGAGGCACUGGAGGAAGCAAAUGGAGGCGAAAGAUCAAGAGAGCCCGUGGACGCCGUUCUUCUCGUUGGUGAACGAACAAGUCGCGAUCGAGGCCAGACAAGAAGACGAAGGGCGGAGCCCGAGUUCGCUCAGCGAGGGAGCUGCGCUUCCGGUAACGGUGAUCGCCUCGAUCUUCAGGAAGGCUCAUCCUCAGAAGCCCGACGAGCCGGACUUCUCCGCCGACGAUCACUUCGAGUAGUGCACUGAAUGUUUUUGAGGACUAUAGGAAUCGGCAUUAGUCGGUUAAUUACUCAAAGCAAUUGGGCUUUAGAUUUACAAUAAUGUGGAUUUGGUUUUAGUUUGUGUACAUAUUUGUUAAUGUUUUCGUAUCUUGAAUGAAAAACUUUGGUUUUAAAAAGGAUACUUCUAUGUUAAUUGUGGUUUUGUGGACUAUUUCAUUUGACUUUUUGGUGGGAUAACUUGUGGAUCAAAGGGGUUUAUACAAACCACUUUGAUGUUAAUCAUAGUAUUCGGUGUAGAUGUAGAAUUAAUUAGUGAAAACAACAAGAAAAACAUUCGUCUUUUCAUAUCAAAGUUCGAAAUCUAGUUACUUCAUAUUUUCAGCUAAGUAUAUAUAUAUUUUAAUUUAAAAAGAACAAAGCAAGUAGAAGUUAAAAGAUGCUAAAUAAACAUGGAUUAGUGUUUUUUCUUUUCACCUCCCUACUAAAUAUGAAACACACUAAUCUUAUAUAGUAGUUAGCUUUCAUUUUCUGUCUACUAUAUAAAGAAAGGUUUAAUUAUAAAAAAAUCGCUCAUACAUUUUAAUCCUGUCUCAAAUACUCCCUUGCAUGAAAAAUUGAAAUAAUGACAAUCCUCCACUUUAGUUUUGUCUCAAAUAGGCCCUUCUAUUGGGAUUUCCUGUUAAUUUUAAUGAUGACAUGUUAAGAUAAUAUAUUUUUAAGCCUAUUUAAACUCUUGCAAGCGCACUUUAAGUAGCAAAAUAUAUCCAAGAACAACUAUAAAAAUGUAUUUAUGUGCGAGAAUUUAAGUGUUUCUAAUGUCAAAUGAUCGUGUCGUGUCAUCGCUGCUGCUACUAUUUCAGUCAAAAGUUAACAGAAUCUCCAAAUUAUUUGAUCUAUUUGACAAAGAUGACAUUGUUUAAAUAUUUUAUGUUGAGGGAUAUCUGAGACAAGAUCAUUAAACUUAAAAACAAAAACCAUUACAAGCUUAUAUUAUUUUUGGUUGCUCUACAUUAACAUACUCUUAACUUCAUCCCCCAUUGACUAAUUUCCCUCUUGUAUUAGACUAUUAAGAAGAAAAGAUAAAGGAAAAGAAAAUAGCAAACAAAUCCAGUGAAUAUACAUGAAAAAAAAAUGGCUUGUUAGAGUAGAUAUUUAACAAGUAAAUGUCCUUAAAAAUUUUCUCGAAAAUGACAUAUAGAACAAAUAAAUAUAGUUUGGUUAUUUCGCUCUCUAUAUUAACGCCGUAAUGUUUUAAAAAUAAAUAUAAAAUUUUGAAAGUCAAUGAGAAAAAUCGGAUAUUUAUAGAAAGAUUUGUUGUAUUUUAGCCUUAUUUUAUUAUUAUCAUGAUUUUAUGAUUUCACCUUCAAUAAAAACCUGCCACGUACCCCGAGUUUGUACAGGUGGUUUAGGGUUUAGGGUUUAGGGUUUAGGGUCCCACUCUCAACAUGGAAGCUUCCCAGGUUUAGACUCUCCUCACAUAACUCUCUCUCUCUCUCUCUCUCUCCCCCUCUUAUUGGCUAAUGGAAAAGUUAUCUUGCUGGACCUGGUUUACACAGAGUACAUUACUGGUAAUCCAGCUCGGUGUUCGCCAGCCAACUCGUGUUCGGCUCGAGAUCGAUUGCUCGUUUAAUGUACGAGUUGAACACGAGCUGAAUUCUUCAGCCCGAAAUCUUAAUGAACUGAACAUGAGUUGAAAUUAGCUCGCUCGUGUUUGACUCAAUAUACAUGCUACUAUUUGGAUUUUAGGCAAAUCCAAAAUGCAAAAAGACUUAUAUUUUGCGAAUUUUAAUCGUUAGAUUAAGAUUCUAAUUUUUUUUUUUUUUGAAAUUUUUUCCACAGUAGGACUGACAAUUUUAUUUGCAGUUCGCGAGCUAACUCGUGUUCGGCUUAUGCUUGUUAAUAAAUAAGCCGAACACGAAUUGAGUUUUUCAGCUCGAUAUUUUAACGAGCCAACUCGUGUUCGGCUCGUUUAAUAAACGCGUGAACAUGAGCCGGUCCUAGCUCGCUCUUGUUCAGCUUGUUGAUAGGCCUUCUCGAAAGUGGAGCAGGGUUAAGUUAUCUUCGACCGUAAAUGUUUACUUUUGUUGUUUGGUUUGUCGUAUAUUAAACUAACCAGCAACUCUCUUUAUCAAAAGGGAAAACUUCAAAAAACCCCCCCUGUGGUUUCGUAGUUUCUCACUUUACCUUCUUGUGGUUUAAAAUGUAUCAAUUUGCCCUCUUGUGGUUUCGUUUUUAUCUUUUUCUUAUCAAUUUCAUUAUUUUUUUUCUUAAAUCAGUGAUAAAGUUAAAAAAAGGGUACUAAAGUGAAUAUUUGAUAAAUUUAGAUGAGUAUCUGAAGUUUUUUGUAUAUAAUUUAAUAAAAUAUUAACGAAAAAGCUAUCCAAAGGAUAAAAACAAAACCACAGGGGGGUAACUUGAUACAUUUUAAACCACAGGAGGGUAAAGUGAGAAACUACGAAACUACAGGGUUUUUUUUCAGUUUUCUCUCAAAAUGCACUAGUUGACUUUGCUUUGAGUGGCGGCGAAAUCCAUUACACAAGAGAAAUAUAUACAAAAUUAAUAUUACAUUUUUUUUUUUUAAUCCUCUUAUACGCUAACAAGGAGACAAAAAAGUGAGAUAAUUAUAAUUCUAAAGUCAUUAGCUUUCUCUCAAAGGAACAACAAUGAAAAAUCAAUUUUUACUUAAAUUUUAAUUCAAUUAAAAAGUCAUUUUUUAAUUUGAAACUCAAUUACGAGUGAACAAACAAGGUCCAUUGAAGUUACUUCUCCAUCCUUUUUCUGUAAUAGGGCAUUCCAAAUUUGGUUUUUAGGAAGUUCAGAUACUUAAUCAUGUCUAAUAAUAGGGGCAAUUGCUUAUAUACCCAGGAAAAAUUUUCGACUUUCUGAUACACCCCGCUUAGAAGGUUAAUAUUGAAAAUACCUUUUUUACGUUCCAAUAUAUUUUAAAUAUACUCCUAGAAUUAAAUUUUGUUAAUGAACGACUAGCAAUAGCUGUUAUCUCUAUAAAAUUACUAUUUUGCCAUUUUAAAUAUACCAUUCUACCAUCAGCGACUUUUUUUACUUGCCUUUAAGUUAGGGCAUAAAAAGUAUUUUGAUUUUUGGUAUUUUCAAAUAUACAUUUUUACCAUCACCAGCAUUUUUUAUUUGUCCUUAAGUUAAGAGCAAAAGAGGCAUUUUAAAUUUUUUUACUCUGGUAGAUAUUUAACUCACGUUUAACCCAAGUUAACUAGGUGGUAACUGCAGGAUUAUUUUAGAAUAACGGAGGAAUAUAUGACGGGUAUAUUGGAAAGAAAAAAAUAAAGAUAAAUGAGAUAUUUUUGAAGUUUUGAGAGAUAUAUAGGCAAUUAUGCUCUGCGACGAAAACAACGCGAAAGUAGAUAAGCCUGGUGUAUUACUUGUGGACCAGGUCUAAGGAAAAAAAGGAAAAAAAAAGGGAGAAAAAUCUCUCUUGCUCUUUUUAAGGGCUUUUUUUGCAUUUAAACCCUUGACAAAUUUUUAUUUUAAAAAUAGCACUGUCAAAAUUUAAUUUGCAAAAAUGGCCCUGACCUGCCACGCAGGCGCCACAUUAGCGCCACGCGGGCAGGGCGGGGCCCGUGUGUUAAGUUGAACACGGUGAAUCAUUCACCGUGUUCAAACACGGUAAAUGGUUUACCGUGUUUAGUACGUAUUUUUUGUUACAUAUUUUUUGUAUAUUGAAAAGUGGAAUAAGGAGUAGGGAUGUCAAUAGGUAUGGAUAUCUGAAAUAUUAUUCAAAUUCAAACCUGAAUAAAUUAUAUAUAUAUAUACAUAAUUUAUUUUUGUUUAUUUAUAUAAUAUAUAAAAUAUUUAAUAAUUUUUAUUCCUUAGAUCUUCAUCCAACCCAGCAGGUUUUAAAAAUCUAUACCGUUGGAUGAAGAUCUAAGAAAUAAAAAUUAUUAAAUAUUUUAUAUAUUGUAUAAAUAAACAAAAAUAAAUUACGUAUAUAUAUAUAAUUUAUUCGGGUUUGGAUUCGGAUAAUAUUUCGGAUAUCCAUACCUAUUGACAUCACUACUCCUUAUUCCACUUUUCAAUAUACAAAAAAUACGUAAGAAACACUGUGAACCAUUCACCGUGUUUAGACACGGUGAAUGAUUCACCGUGUUCAACUUAAUACCCUGAUCCUAACCCUGCCCGCGUGGCGCUGACGCGGCGCCUGCGUGGCAGGAACAGGACUAUUUUUGUAAUUUUAAUUUUGAUAGGGCUAUUUUUAAAAUAAAAAUUGCUCGGGAGACUAUUUGCAAAAAAAAGCCCUCUUUUUAAACUUGUGAGAGUUGACUUUGGGUCUUCAUAGCAGUAGUAAUAAUAAAAUAAAAAAAUUAAUACUAGUUUAGAAGCACAAAAUGUCUCCUCAAUUUAUGCCCUAAAUCCUAAAUCGUAAAUCCAAUUUCCACCCUAAAAUCCCAAUAGAUCCUCGUAUUGAAUCGAUCGAGUGUGUGUUUGUUGCGAUAAUUAAGCUCGGGUAUGUUCCGAUCCAAGGUGCAAGAUGAGAUCGAGAUGCAGAGGAGAGCCGCAAGGUGAUUUUUAUUUUUAAAUUUUAAUUUUAAUUUUUUCUAUUUGAUUUGAUUUGAUCUGGUUUCUGUGGAAAAAAAACCCACCUCAAAACCCUAGUUUGAUCUGUGUUUUAUGUGGGAGUUCCCUUAAAUCUGUGAAGAACAUGUGUGUUUUGAACUAGUUGUGGAGCUAAGAUCCUUUUUUGGUAAAAAAAAAAAGUCUCAGAGAACCGACCUCAAAACCCUAAUUUGAUCUGUGUUUAUGUAGGAGUUCCCUUGAAUCUAUGAAGAACAUGUGUGUUUUGAACUAGUUGUCGAGCUAAGAUCCUUUUUUGGUUAAAAGAAAGUCUCAGAAUACCCACCUCAAAACCCUAAUUGAUCUGUGUUUAGAUAAGAGUUUCCUUAAAUCUAUGAAGAACAUGUGUGUUUUGAACUAGUUGUGGAGCUACGAUCCUUUUUUUGGUUAAAAAUUAGUCUCAGAAAACCCACCUCAAAACCCUAAUUGGAUCUGUGUUUAGGUCAAAGUUCCCGUAAAUCUAUGAAGAACAUGUGUUUUGAACUAUUUGUGGAGCUAAGAUCCUUAUUUAGUUAAAAACAAAGUCUUAGAACCACCUGAACUUUGCUUGAUUUGCAAUUUACUAUCUGAACUUUAAAACGUUGAAAAUUUAUUACUAGAACAAUAAUUCUGUUGCAAUCUACAACAAGACCCUUAAGUUCCUUAAUUUGGUCAGAUGCCCGUCGUUCGCGGGGUUGUGAGUCAAAUUUUGAGUGAAAUGACUAGCAUGCCAAAUUCCGUAGUUAAUUUUUCGAAUGGAUAUCUAGCCAAUUCGAUGAAAAACGGGGGUUUUGUUAUGGAUUGCAGCAGAAUCAUUCUCUAGGUGGUUGAUUGUGACAUAUUUUAGUUCGUGCAUUGAAUCACAAAUUGCGCAAUGUUUAGGUGGUGGUUUUGGGACUUUUUAGCCCUAUUGUAGAGCUACACAACCAUGGAUUAUUUAGAGGUUAAAUAUGUGGAGUUCUCUUGCGUUGUAAUUGAUUGUAAUUUUGGAGAUUUAGUCGAGUGAAAAGAAAUACAAAUGCCUGUGAAUCCUUUUGAAGUAAUAGGACGUGGGGACUAUUGAUUGUUGCUGAAGUUCUGAGGAUUGUAUGAUGUUUUUCUUUUUUUCAAUUGAAAAGUAGAUAUUGUGUGGUAUUUCCUACACCUAAGGAUGUAAUUGUACCACUAACAUGUCAUUUCAAAUUCUUGGAUCACAUUAAAAUAUUGUGAUUUUGACUUGGGUGGCAUGCUUCGCUAAUUAGAAACAUCCGAACCUGGCUAUUUUUUAGGACAUUUUAUGUUUUGAGUUCUUAUAUAACUUGACGCUUCUUUGGCCUAGCUUCUAGAACGGCUUUUUUGUUAUUUUUGUUGUGGCAAGAAGCUGAAAUGAGAUUCUGACCAGAAGCAGAAUCCUGUAGGGUGCUAUUAGGAGGUGAGGGUGGGCGUGGGUUAGUUGCGAUUGGGUCAAAAAAGUUGAACAUGCUCUGAACACCUCAAUGCAAACGAUGCUUUUUAUAUAACCUUAUCUAUGCUAUACUGGCCAUUUAUUAAUAUUACAUCUUCUCAUUGAUACUUACCCCUUUUACUUCUACUUAAAUUGGUAGGACCUUGCUUCUAGUUAGCUUUUCAACUCAAAAAGUAGAUGUCGGUUGCUUAGCAAACAAAAGAUUUAAAGGUUUUGGUUUUGUUGGAAGCUGAACUGCUAAAAUGACCUUCUAGUCGCCAAAAGCAAAAGCUCCAAAUUGAAGCUUCUAGCUAUAGCAAGAAGAUGUACGGUGAAUUUACUCGAAUGCUUUUUACUGCUUGUUCAAACAGUUCAACUCAACCAACGUUUUCUCUAAAACCUCUAAUCAUGCCUAACAAGCCCUUUAUUAUUUCUAUAUACUCUUGAAAACUUUUCAUGUUGAUGCUUACCCUUCUCUUUUUAUGUCCACAAUUACAGGGUCUUUCCUGAUGAGAAGCAAAACCAAGCUAAACCCAUGUAUCAAGUCGCAAGAGCCGAUAAAUUUGGCACCAGUAAAUUAGAUGGAAGAAACCCCAUAAAGCCUAAAGUAUGGGUUGAGACCAAUGAGCCAUGGCACAGAUUAAUCUUAGACCCCGGAAGUAAUAUAGUUCUAACAUGGAACCGGGUUUACCUCAUGACGUGCUUGUUUGCUCUUUUUAUAGACCCCUUCUUCUAUUACUUACCCUUCGUUAGGGUCGAUAAUAAUUCUUCAUGCGUUAGACUGGAUGAACGAUUACGUAUUACUGUAACUGUUCUUCGAUCUUUAGCCGAUGUAUUCUAUAUGCUGAAUAUGGUUAUAAAGUUUCGAACGGCGUAUGUUGCGCCGAACACGAGAGUGCUUGGGAAGGGAGAGCUUGUAACUGAUCCUAAAGAAAUUCGAAGGAGAUAUUUAAGAUCCGAUUUCUUCAUAGAUCUAGUCGCGGCAGUGCCUCUUCCACAGGUAUGUCCUAAGUUUCUGAAGUGGAGAUGUUAGCUAUUUGUAAUAUCGUCUAGUUAUGAAAAAUAUUCUUGUCAGCACUGAAUUACUCUUAGGCGUAGUUUGGAAUAAGCAGGAAUUAACUUCUCAAAUACCAGUGUGUAUGCAUAUUUUCUAGUCAGCACAUUGCUCUAUUUCUCAACUUAAGAGGUGUUUGGUUCCUUAGAAAAGUGUGGAAAACUAUUUGCUAGAAAUGGAAAACACUCUUUUCCGCAGUUUUCAUUUUCUGGAUUAAAAAAAUUCAGAAAAUGACACUACUUUUUCAUGAAAUCUGCAAAAAGGUUUUCAAGGAAAGCUACAUUUCCUAGGAACCAAACCGACGGAAAAUACUUUUCCAGCCAGAACACUAUUCCCUUGGAUUAUUUCCAGGAAACCAAACAUCACUUCAUCGAUUGUUGUUUUUGCGCUUCCUUUCUACAGGUUGUCCUCUGGUUCAUAAUGCCCGCGAUAAGUAGCCCGAAUUACAAUAUCAAAAACACCACAUUUGGCCUUGUUAUUGUGGUUCAGUAUAUAAUUAGAAUGUAUCUUAUAGUUCCCUUAAGCAAUCAGAUUAUUAAAGCUGCUGGAGUUGUCGCAAAGACCGCCUGGGGAGGAGCUGCAUAUAAUCUACUACUCUACAUGUUGGCGAGCCAUGUAUGUCAUAGUAUUCAAUAUAUACUCCUGCAAAAUCAUUUAUUUACACAUUCGUCCCUGCAAAAUCCUAAUUUCCAUAUUUGCCCUUCAGAAAUUUGAUUUCCUACAUGUAAACCAUUAUACGUACAAAACCAGCUUCUCAUAAGGGCACUUUUGGAAGAAGCCGCACUUUCAAAGUGCUUAUAUGAAACUCGGAUUUUUAUAGGGUAUAUAAGUACAAAAUGCAACUUCAGAGAUUCUAAAAUUGAGAUCCAAACCAUUAAAUUAAAUAUGAUCAAGAACAUCUAAAAUAGCUACUCAUAAAAUUUUACGCAUUUUGAAAAACUGAUUUCCUAGCCAUCAAGUAGUAUCAAAAUCAAUGGUUUAUUAUUUUUAACAAAGGGCAAUUUUAGAAACACAAGAUGUAGUUUCCGAAAAUUAUAUUUAACGGUUUAGAUAUUCAUUUGGAGGCCCGUAUAGUUAAAUUUUAGCUUGUAUAAGAAGUGUGUAACUUAAAAGUGUGUAACUAGUUCCUAACUAUAUCAAUAUAACUAGUAUCCUGAUCAUAUAUAUAUAGUAAUUUAUAUAUAUAUAUAUAUAUUAUUAUAUAUAUAGUAAUAUAGUUGAGCUAGAAUACUCUCAAAGCACCAAAGAGGUUGGUCUUUUGAGUUUUUAACCUUUGGAUGGAGAAAUGUAAUGUGUGUAUGUAAUGUGUGUUAUGUAUAUAUAUUAUAAUAUAUUAUAUAAUAUAUAGAUAGAGAGAGAGAGAGAGGAGCGGAGAGAGAGAGAGAAGAGCAGGGCUGCUGUGCUCUCAGGAGCCGGAGGCCUCCGAUUCCUUGAGUCGUUUCGAUGAUGGAAUUUUCGAAUCGACGAUCGGGCUCCGUUAGACUUGAUCUAGGUAUUUGAAGUUUUCUAGAAAUAAUUUUUGCAAGUUUUUGUAUCAUGUACCUAGUGAUCGAAAGGAUUCAAAUCAAUAAUUUUUAAUGGUUUGAUAUCUGGCCGUUUUCAAGUUUAAUGGUGUAGAAGUAUUCAAAUCAGAUAUGAAUUUUGAUUACAAAUUCUUUAUCUAUCUACAACAAGACAAUAUUUCUGAUUGAAAAUUUUAGUGCUAAUCAUCACACUUUUUAUAGAAGAUUUUAUUUUCAGCCGUUAAAAAUUAUUGAUUUUGAAUCCUUUCGAUUGCUAGGUAAGAUGAUAUCGAAAAGUUGAAAAAUUAUUUUCUAGAAAUUUCAAAUACGCGUAGAUCAAGUCUUAACCGAGCCCGAAUCGUCGAUUCGGAAAUUCCAUCAUCGUGAAAAACGAUCUCCUGAGAAGCACCAAGCAGUCUUGGCUCUAUAUAUAUAUAUAUAUAUAUAUAUAUAUAUAUAUAUAUAUAUAGUUGAGCUAGAAUACUCUCAAAAGCACCAAGAGAUUGGUGCUUUUGAGUUUUUAACCCUUGGAUGGAGAAAUGUAAUGUAUAUAUAGAGUUGAGCUAGAAUACUCUCAAAAGCACCAAGAGGUUGGAGCUUUUGAGUUUUUAACCUUUGGAUGGAGAAAUAUAAGAUUGGGAUGAUGUUGGUAGGUGAUGGUAGGUGGAAUAGUGUUUGAUCCAAAGACUAUUAGUAAUCAAGGAGUAGAUCCAAGGGCAAAAAACCUAGAAGCAAAAAUGGGGUGAUACUUCUAAAAGUAUUCUAGCUCAAUUCUAUAUAUAUAUAUAUAUAUAUAUAUGUAUAUAUAUAUAUAUGGAGUGAGGCUGGUAUAUUUCUAGAAGCAUGGAACUCGGGCUCCGUGCUUCCAAGUCGUUUUCGAUGUUCGGAUUUUCGAAUCGACGAUCGGCUCCAUUAGACUUGAUCUAGAGUAUUUGAAGUAUCUAGAAAAUAAAUUUUGCGAUUUUUCGAUACCAUUUGCCUAGUGAUCGAAAGGGGUCAAAAUUAACGGCUGAAAAUAAAAAUCUUACAAAAUGUGAUGAUAUGACAUUAAAUUUUAGAUCAAAGAUAUUGAUCUUGUUUUAUAUAUUAUAAAGAAUUUUCUAACAAAAUUUCAUGUUAUUUGAAUAUUUCUACAUCGUUAAACUUGCAAACGGCUCACCGCGGCCGUUAAAAUUAUUGAUUUUGAGCCCCUUCGAUCAUUAGGCAAAUGAUAUUGAAAAAUCACAAAAUUUAUUUUCUAGAUACUUCAAAUACUCUAAAUCAAGUCUAACGGAGCCGAUCGUCGAUUCGAAAGCCCCAACAUCGAAAACAAUUUGGAAGCACGGAGGGUUCCGUGCUUCCAGAAGCAUACCAGCCUCUUUCUCUCUCUCUCUCUCUCUCUCUAUAUAUAUAUAUAUAUAUAUAUAUAUGUAUGUAUGUAUGUAUGUAUGUAUGUAUGUGUGCUAAUAGACAAUCUUUUUGGGAUAUAAAUGUGAAAGUACCACUAUUUUCUUUUUUUUGGUCAUCUUCGAUGCAAUCUAACAAAGCCUCUUUUUGAUUGAUCAUAUACAACUGCAGAUCACAGGAGCAAUAUAUUAUCUCCUCACUGUUGAACGGCAAAUAACGUGUUGGAACUCGGAAUGCUCGAGGGAAAGCGCUUCCUCAAAUGUGACUUGUCAUCUUAAAUAUUUGAAUUGUGAUUAUACCGAUUCGAGUGACUACCAAAAUUGGGCCAACAGCACGGGUGUGUUUUCGAACUGUAAUGCCGGCAAUCAAAGUAUCAACUUCAAGUACGGGAUAUUCCUGCUUGCAUUGAACGAUGGGGCUGUUUCGACAAAUUUCCUCGAGAAAUACUUCUACUGUCUCUGGUGGGGUCUGCAACAGUUGAGGUGUGAAUCAUUUUACAUAUAUACCCUUCAAAAACAUGAUCUAUCAAAGUCCAGUAGUGAAAUUAUUGUACAACAAUAGUUGGUUUUAGUAGGACAAUGCCUAUUUAUCCAAUAUUUAAGUUCCAGUUUUUUUUUUUUUAUUUAUUUUUUUUAUUUUAACCUACGUAGCCCUGCAAAUUUAUCUAUAUACAUGCCCAUGAAACUACGUAUUUAAAGGUAUAUAUACAUAUAUUCUGAUUUUACACGACAAUAUAUAGAAACAGAUGAUUUUUGCAGGGAUAUAUGUAUACAAAAGGCCCUGUUUAUAGAUUAUUCUGGCUUUUUUUUUUUUUAAUUUAUGAAGAAUCUGUUGUGUCUUUCGCCAGUUCGAGUGGGAACCCUCUGAUUACGAGCACUUUCAUCGCGGAAAAUACGUUUGCCAUCGCAAUUGGAGCCAUUAGUCUUGUACUGUUUGCUCAGCUGAUUGGCAACAUGCAGGUGACAUAUCGUUUUGUACUUUCGAAAAAUAUUUAUUUUUCCUUUCUGUUUCUUGCUGCUGCUUUAAUUACCGCGUAAAUUUCAUUUGAUUUGAGUUAUGGUUUGUCGUUAAUUUAAUAUCUUCAUAUUUCCUUUCUCGUAAAAGUUGAGAAACAUCGUCUUUUUUUUUUUUUUCGGUAGACCUACUUACAAUCGAUCAGCAAACGACUCGAAGAGUGGAGGCUGCGGCAAAGAGACACCGAGGAGUGGAUGAGGCAUCACCAACUUCCCGACGAUCUCCAAGAGCGGGUCCGCCGGUUCGUUCAGGUGAAGUGGCUCGCGACGCGAGGCGUGGAUGAAGAGACUAUCCUAAUAGCUUUACCUGCGGAUAUUCGUCGCGACGUGCAACGCCACCUCUGCUUGGACCUAGUUCGACGGGUAAUAAGCGUGCUAAAGUUACGGCGUAUUCUCUAUUCUUCGAAAGCUAAAAUUCGAGUUCCAAAACACAGUAGUUAAUUUAUCUUCUUUUUUUUUGCAUGUAGGUUCCUUUUUUCUCAGAGAUGGAUGAUCAACUCCUCGACGCCAUCUGCGAGCGGCUAGUCUCCUCCCUGUGCCCCGAGGGAACAUUCAUCGCCCGUGAGGGCGACCCCGUGAACGAAAUGCUCUUCAUAAUCCGGGGGAAACUAGAGAGUUCUACGACCAACGGCGGCCGAACCAACUUCUUCAACUCAAUAAUCCUACGGCCCGGCGAUUUCUGCGGCGAGGAGCUCCUAACAUGGGCCCUGCUCCCCAAAACCAACGUAAACUUACCCACUUCGACGCGGACCGUAAAAGCCCUAACCGAAGUCGAGGCCUUCGCCUUGCGAGCAGAAGACUUGAAAUUCGUCGCGAACCAAUUCAGGAGGCUGCACAGCAAGAAACUGCAGCAUACAUUCCGGUUUUACUCUCACCAGUGGCGGCUGUGGGCGGCGUGCUUUAUCCAGGCGGCGUGGCGGCAGUACCGGAGGAGGAAAACGGCCGAGAGCUUAAGUCGGUGGGAGGAGUACUCAUGGUGGGAGGAUCAAGAGAGCAACUACAAACCGGAGAACGAGAAUGCGAGGCCGGGCUCGAGCGCGAUUAUUGAAAAGUUGGGAUCCAUUUCGCGGAGGUUUUUGGCCGACGAUACUGAACUGGCCAGGCUGCAGAAGCCGGACGAGCCCGAUUUCUCCGCAGAUCACUUCGAUUAGGAGCUCUGAAUCGGAAACCGGUCGCACUGGUGUUCGGAAAAGGGGUUCUUGGUGUAAUAUUGUUGGAUCUUUAUACUUGUUGUUGGUCUUAUUGUUCUGAAUGCAUAAGCUCCAAUUUAAAACUUCGGAAGUUACUUUUUGCGAGGGAUUAAUGAACUGGGGAUUGUUUGUAUCUUGUACAGUGUGAACAUCUUGAGGAAGCAAGAAUAUUGUGAAAAUUAAUGUUGUGUUGCUACAUAGUUGAUAGAUUUGUUUUCUUGACCAUUUAUUGUCGAGAAUUUCGGGGACUCGGAUUCGGGCUAUGAGGGCUAUAAAUGCGGGCGCAGAGACAAUAAUGUGUUUGAAGUAGUUUCGGUAUGUUUCAAGUCGAAAAUUUUCAACCAUUCUAAAGGUUAUAGCGUGUUUUAGAAGAUCAAGUUCAAAUAGAACUUUUGAAAAUAUUGGAACUGGGACAACAUAUAAAAGUUAAACUUUUACAGGAAUAUAUUUGUCAUUCACUAUAUUUGUAGGGAUCUGUAUAAAAUUAAUCAAAAAAAAAAAGAAUUAUGCGGUAACAAAGGCAAGUUAUUGACCUUUUAAUAUAUAUAUAUGUCGAUUUGUAUAGACGUUCUAAACGAACCACAUUUCGAAAUAACAUUCCAAGUAAUCUUUUGCCCCUCAUACCGUGUUUUUAUGAAACUAGUGAAUCAUGUUUUAGCACUCGUAUUACGCAGCAUAACGUAUCCCGUUCCAGACAAUGUUGGUUUUAAUACAAAACGAGGGGUUUUCGAGCAUUCAUUAGAAGGCAAAGAUGACGUUGCCAUGAAUGUGGAGUGUAGGAUCAAGUUGAAUCCUCAUUAAGAGGAACUAACCAACCCUUAUUCUCUUCCUAAACAUCGUGGUUUCUUAUUCUUAAACUCCAAAUAAUUGUCCAAUUGGUUCUUUAUGUGAAAGAACCGUUGUACUCUAAAAAUUUAAGCUGUUAGAGAACGGUGUUUAAACAUUUUUAUAUUUAACACUCCCCCUCACGUAUAGGUUCGAAACUUUUUAAUCGGCCCAUGACGUGGGCUUGAAUUAAAUGGGAGGAAAUUAAUAUAUUAGGAGCCUGGCGUGACUCGAACUCAGGACCUCCUGCUCUGAUACCAUGUGAAACAACCGUUGUACUCUAAAAAGCUUAAGCUAUUAGAGAACGGUAUUUCAAUAUUUUUAUAUUUAACACUUUAUAUUAAAAUGGUACCGUUUGGUUCGGAUAUAAGUAAGAACUAGCUAUUAGAGGGAUAGGUAUAAGUAUGGGGAUAAGAAAAAUAGUGUUUGGAUGAAAAUUGGGUUGUUCCCCGGGAUAAGAACAAUUUUAGGUAGUUUUAUAUAAAAAAUGGAGCUGUUGGUGGGGAUAACCGAGAACUACUAUUCUCGGAUAAAAAAUUAGCGUUUGGAUAUAAAAAGGGGGAUAAGGGCCUAUUCCUAUUCCUACCUCCUAACCAAAUGCUGUGUUGUUCGGCUUGUUUUUGGGACGACCAGAACUGAACUGCUUCUCAACUCAAGAAAGCAGAAGUUCCCAAAUACUAAAGUGUGGUAGAAAGCUAAUAUGAGCCUCUUUUUUUUUUUUUUUGUUCCAAAAGCAGAAGGUCCAAUAAGAACCUUUUGCUUAUAUUGAAGUGAGAAGCUGCUGUAAAGGGGAUUCUAAUAAAUUAUUUCUGCUUCUUCGGAUAGCUCUACUGAAACAACUAUUCUGAAGAGCGCUAGCAAUGCCAAACAAUCCCCUAACGAGUUCUACAAAUGAUUCCAACAUUUACUAACUCAAGUGGCUUCAAAUUCCUUUGCGGCGAUGUGCUACGGAUCCGUCAAAUUUUGACGAACUUGAUAUGGUAAGAAUACGAGAGGAAGGCGACAACGUCUUCCCUUCUUUGAUCCUCUUUUUUUUAAAUUUUUGCAUUUGAAUUUUGAAGUUCUUGUGCAUGAUCUUUGCAAUGAUGUAGCAUUAUGGAUAACGCAAAUAGCAAAUGAAAAUCGUAAUCUUUUUUUUUUUUUCUUUUUUUCAUACAUGUGUUUAGAGUAACUGGAUAGAAACCGAAUAAUGCAACAUUCUAUGCUGGUCUCUGACUAAUAGAUAAUUUAUUCUUUUGACUAAAAACUGUACUACAAAAGCUCAGGGACUAAAUCACAAUAUCAGAAAAUACACGGACUACCCAGAAAACAAAGCUUCAGAAUUUUGCAAAUAAGCCCAUCUUUGUGCAAUGGUUUCAGAAAAUUUUGAUGUGUAAGUUUCAGAUUUUUUCCCCCCCUUUUUAUUUAAAUUACUCUUCAAAUUAAUGAUGCAAGCAGUUUGUCAGAUGUGACUCGAAAUCUACUAUCGUUUCAGGUUCGGGUUUACGACUCACCGACAGCUUCGCGGUGCGACCAAUUUGGAAAAAAAAAUUAUGGAGGAAAAAUGAAUGUCUGUGGUGGGUAGCGGAGGGCUCGGGCCAACCGCUGACAUUCGCCAGGGUACGGAUCGGAUCCGAAACCCAUUAUGAGUUUUCCUUUUUUUCAUUUUUGCCCUAGAGGCGUGUGAUCGUGGUCGGUUGUAAUCUGAAGAACAUUGUAUUCCCUUUUCGUUCCACAGUGAAGUUCUCUCCUUCCUCGCCCUUGGUUUUUUCCUUGCAAAUGAUUUUUUCAUGUAAAUCUGUGUUUCUUUAUUUUCUGCUUGUGGUUUGAUUGUUUUUGUGUUCGUCAUUUUGUUUCCGUUUGUGCGUUUGUCGUAACACAGUUCAAGAAAUCGGAUUAAGCUGUCCAAAUGCAAACUUCUGCUGUUCACUCACCCUUCCACUAAUUAAAUACAACUUUUUCAUUUAGUUUUUUGAGUUAGUUUCUCAAUAGAGAGAUACAUCACAAUUGUAUGCUAAAACAAUAUCCUGAAUCCAUUAGAACUAAUUUUGCAGCAACGCAGUAAAGUUUACGCACGAAGGAAAAGUGGGGAUAAAACUUCAUGUAUCCAAUCUGAAACAUGAACAAGAUCUAAAUCAAAGGUGUAUUCAGACUCGAAGUUCCUCGUCGCCUAGCAAAGAUGCUGAGGAGCAAAUUGUGUGGCUACGUUACGACGUAUACGACACCGGUAUCGGCAUUCCUGGUAUGAAUUUAACUCUUUUGUUCUUAUACUCUCUAAAGCUACCAUACUGGCUCCUGCAGAUUAUUUCAUUACUCUUCUUUUUCGGAACAGUUUUGUUUCAUUACCAGAAAAGAAAAGGCUCUACCUUCAUUGUUCAAAAGUUAUACGCAAGCAAGCGAUGAUCAUGCACGAAAGUGCGGCGGCACCGGUCUCGGCCUUGCUAUCUGCAAACAAUUGGUAAUAUGUACUCAUUUUUAAAAAUUUACACUUUAUAGAUUCUUACAUGUUUUCUCAUUUUAUGUUUCCGAUCAUGCAUCAAUUAUAUAGCAUUUCGAAGUAGGAUGUUGAGUUUUGUUUCUUACUUUUCAUUUUCUUUUACUCGCCUUUAUUUGAGUUAUUUUGUCGCGUAAAUUUAACGGCGUUACCAUCUUUUUCGCUGACGGAACUGCAACAGAGCCAUUAAUUCAAUGAAAUCCUCAUGAAAUUGAUGGAACAACUCAAACCAACGUGAACAAGGGUGCGUCGAUAAAAGAAAACAUAAAGUUUUGGGUCCUAUUAUAAAAGAAAACAUGCAAUUAGUGAACUAACUUUGUGAGUACAUCUAAAACAGGUGGAACUAAUGGGUGGUAGUCUCACUGUGGUCAGUAAAGAGCACCGUGGUUCAACGUUUACAUUCGUAUUACCUUGUAAAGUUCCUAUAAUGGAGGAGCCCUCAGACGAUCCCGAUUCUUUAGCAAACCACCAUGUUGGUGAUCUCAAUGGAUCAUUCAUUUUUGAGCCAAAAUUCGACGCUUUUAAUGCUUCUAGUCGCGUGUCAGAGAAGCCCGAUUCAUGGUCUUGGAAAGAUCACAAAUCAAGCGAAGGUGUUUUCGGUGAAAGUGCUUCCUCUAUAUGAGGGUCUUCGAGUCCAAAAGGUUUUGGAUUCGCAAAUUGAUUCAUCAUCAAGUGUACGAGAUAACGGGGCCGAGGAUAAAAACCAUAGAAUUAAUAACUCUCAGUGUGCAUCUACCAGCGGUUCUCUGAAAAUUCUCCUUGUGGAGGAUAACAGGAUCAACAUAAUGGUGGCGACGUCGAUGAAUAACGGAUUAGAUGUGAUUCGUGUUGGGAAUCCGGUACUCGCCCCGGUACCGGAUCUCGUGAAUCCGCAACCCGUUUCGAUACCGACUGCUGUGGAUCCGGUAUCGAUUGUUGGGAUUCCGCAACGGAAGCGUCGAAUCGGGUUUUUACCAUAAGCUCGUCUCCUCAGCAAAAGCUGAUACAAUCAUAAAAGAGAGAAAAAACCAAAUCAGAAAAUAUGCGGGUAAAAUAAGAUUCAUUAAAUAAGAAAAGAUUACACCUGACUCCUCUUCUGCACAGAGUAGCUACAACCCGAGCCCUCUUUCUGAAUCUUUUCUAUCUUUCUCUCGCCUUCUAUAAACCCAUAAAGAAGACAAUCCUUCACAUACACCCGUGCACUCAAAGCAUAAUUAAAUAACUCUCUCUCUGGUACGGCAACCCAAGAGACUCUCUCUCUCUCUCUCCCGUACUUCACAUCAAAAGCAAACCCACAAAGAGCUAUUUAUAAGGCUCCACUAAAAUGUACCCCAAUCCUAAUAUAUUUAGAAUUUCUAUUCCAAUUAAUAUCUAAAUCUAUCUUAAUUAAUCUCUAAUAGAUUUAAAUAUUAAUCCUAAUCUAGUUAGGUUUAUCCUCUAAUUAAUAUUUAAAAUUUAAUUUAUCUCCAACAGAUUUAAAUAUUAAUUCUUAUCUAAAUAGGAUUCAACUACAAAUCUAACCAAAUCCUAACAAUUCGAGCAGUUCAGCGGUCAGGAUACGAUCUUAUUUUGAUGGUAAGAUGCUACAUUUGUUUUAGUUCUCAUUUCUGAAUCGUAAUUUUACAUUUCAUUCUUGUUUCCUUUUCAUUUCCACUACAUUUUACCCAUAUUGCGCAUCGAACUUUUUAACUUCAACCUCAUCUACGAAAAUAAUUAUUUAGAUAACGAUUAUAUUUGCAGCAUAAAAGAGCAUUCACAUUUGCUUGUAUUUCCCUGCGAAAUCUGAAUUUUCAUGUAUACCUCUCGAAACCGCAGUUUCUUGAAUAAGAUACUCUUAUCAAUCCAAAACUUAUGUAAGAAAUGAACAUUUUGAAAUAGAUUACUUUGCAUCAUCAUAUACGUAUGCAAAUAUCUGUGUUCCCCUUUCGUAGCAUGCCGAGUAUAAUAAUCUCUUAUUAACCCUUGCGAAAGGAUGUGUUAUGAGGCACUACACAAAACAAUGCAACAAACUCUACUGUAAAAAUCCAACUAAAUCCUACUCUUAAAUCAAAUUGAAUAGAAAAUUUAUGCAAAUGGCAUGAUGAUUGCGUUGCGAGAAACUCUAAUGAGUGUCGAUAAAUUAAGGUGUUUAUGUUUUUGUUUUGGAGGAUGUUUGCAUGCCAGUAAUGAAUGGCCUGCAAGCCGCCAAAUUGAUUCGCGCUUUCGAAGAAAGCGGCUACUGGGAUGCCUUGGUCUGGCCCGGAGACGAGUCGAAUGAGGCCUGUGCGGCUUUCUCGACGAAUGAUUCGAUUGCGGGAUGACGAAGGAAGAGGAUUCCAGUUAUUGCAGUAAGUCUCUCUCUCUCUCUCUCUCUCUCUCUUCUCUGAAAAGAGGUUGUAGGACUCGCUAGCAAUAAUAACUCGUUGGACCUAAACCAUCGGUCUAAACUGCGUAAGUCCAGUUAUCAUUAUUAGGGUGCGUAGCCGAUGUGGGGACUAUUGGGGAUUACCGGUGGGACUAUUAGGGAUUACCAGGGGCUUAUCAGUGAGACUAUUAGGGAUUACCAGGCGAUAUAAGAUUCUCUAUGUGUAGCACUUUGCCCCGCAUAACACUUAACUCUCACACUUCAGGCUGGUAUUCGGAUACUAAUUGUAAUGAUCCUGCCCGCUAGUAUUAAUAACUCGUUGGGCCCAAAACAUCGGCUCAAAAUGCUUAAGCUCAGCUAUUGUUAUUCGCGUGCAAGGCCUCAUAUAUUUUCAAUCAAAAUUUUUAGUCCCAUCCGAUACGAGACUAUUAAGGCGUUACAGAGGCCAAGCAAGAACAAAAUCGCAGAAUAAGAGGAAACAAUUUACGGUCAUGUCUAACUUUUUUCUGCUCAUAAAUUUCAGAUGACUGCAAAUGCAUUGGCAGAGAGCGCCGUCGAAUGCCUCGCCGGCGGUAUGGAUUCGUACAUGUCGAAGCCCGUAAAGUUUCAAAAAUUGAAACAAUGCCUCCAACAAUACUUGCCAUCUCAAACAGUUGAUUAAUUCUUGUACGUGAAGAAGAAAAUUUUGGGAGGUUAAAUCCUUUUUCUUUUUUUUCUUUUUCUUUUUUCUAUUUUUGGGUUUGUGUGUGUGUUCAUCAAUCUCUUUUAUAAUGUGCAUUCUGAGACCAAGUCCUAAAUGUAGAGUUUCGUCGAUGUAACUCGACAAACUAUUAUUAGGCUUCACAUAUUUGUUCUUGUAUGAAUCAGAGAAUAAACAGAUAAAUCAAUGCAUAGUUUUUACAUGUAAUUUUUGUUUCCUGAGAAGAUUUUGCAGAUAUAAAGAGUAAAUUGUAUUGUAUCAGAAACUCUAACCUUUCAAUUGUUACAAUUGAUACAAUUUUACACUCUAAUUAAUUUGCUUGGUUAAAUUUGAUUGCAAAGUUAGGGGGUGUUUGGCCUAGCUUUUAAAAAGCGCUUUUGGACUGAAAAGUAAUUUUCGGCUCAAUAGAGCGUUUGGCAAUUCAUUUUUAAAAUCUGAUUCUGUUUUUUAGAAUCAGAAAACUACUUUUGAAGGCCCCAGAAUCAGAAGCAGGAAAAAGCUGCUUCUUAAAAUCUGAUUCUGAUUUUGGAUUUAAACUUCAAUUUUUUAUUUUUACUUUAAUUUCAAUAUUUAAAUUUAAAUUUAAUUUUAAAUUUUAAUUUUCAAAUUUAUUUUUAAAUUUUUAAAUUUUAAACUUUAAAUUUUAAAAAAUAGAUUUCAAACUUUAAAUAUUAAAUUUUAAUUUUAAAUAUCAAAUCUAAAAUUUUAAAUUUCAAAUUUCAAAUUUUAGAUUAAAUUUAAAUUUUAACAUUUUAGAUUUUAAAAUUUAAAUUUUAAAAUUUAAAAAUUUUAAAAUUUAAAUUACAAGUUUUAAUCUUCAAAUUAUAAAUUUNNNNNNNNNNNNNNNNNNNNNNNNCAAAUUUUAAAUUUUGUACAAUUUUGAAAUUUAAAUAUUUUAAUUUUAAUUCAAAUUUAAAUUUAGAUUUUAAAUUAUUUUAAAAUAAAAAUUAAUAAAAAUAUUAAUUUAUGCAAACAUAAAAAAAAAUUUGCCAAACAGUUUUUCAAAAUCACUUCAGAAAAAUCACUUUUAUCUAAACUCCGUUAAACGCUCUAUAGCUUUUAACUAAAAUCACUUCUCCAAAUCAAAAUCACUUUUUCAGAAAUCACUUUUUCAGAAGCUAGGCCUAACAAGCCCUUAAUGCAAUCACCAUGUGAGGAAGUUGAAAUGUUGCUUAUGUAUCAUUUUGAUGCUAAAUUAUGUGGAAAUUUUUGUCCAAUUUGAGAGAGAAAUUUACCUUCCUGUUACAAACAAUAAAAGUUAAAAGGGACAAUUGACAAUAUAUCCCUGUAAAGUUAGAAUAUUGCAUAUUUGUCACUCUGAGCUUUAAUAUAUUAUAUAAACAUCCCUUGACUAGUCAAAAACCACCAUAUUUUACUUAAAAAACAGAUCAAAUGACCUUAAUAAAGAGUGAUAGAGCUAGAUCUCAGUGUUCCGAUUGGUCGUUAUUAUUGAUCACAAUAAGAGCAAAAUAGUCAUAGUACUAAAAUAUGAAAAGUUUUGACUAGUCCAAGUAUAUAUUUGCGAGUCUAGAGAGAGAAAACAUGUAACUUCCCCACUUUGUGGGGUUUAUAGAUGCAUUUACUCCAUUUUUUUUAAAAUAGUUGCUAAUAAAUUUUGAUUUUUGUGGCAAAUUAAACAUUCUGAGUUUGCUAUAUAGUUGUUAGCGCAUAAAAUUUCCGUAUUUGGUCAUCGGCUCAACUUACGUGAUCAAAAUGGUACGUGGUGCUCUGAGGGCCCAAAAGAAGUGAGCCAAAGACAAAUAAGUUUUGAGCGGGAAUAGUUGAGAGGCGUGAAGGUAGUUUUUGUUGGCUUAAAUGGGUCAGCAUCCUGCCCUGUGGCGGAAGGCCAUGUGGGUCGAGUCAUGUUCGAAAUGGCGUGAGGCUGGGUUGGGCCGAGUCAUGUUCGAAGUGGCGUGAGGCCAAGUGGGCCGAGUCACAAUCGAGACCCGUGGGCGCUGUUUCUGUACGCUUUAAGUGAAUUGGUUGCGUAUUUCUAACAGCUCGAGCUUUUGGGAUUAAUGGUUAGCGCCAACGAUCCGACAGUUUUAUAAUCGAAAAAACAUGAACAGAGUAUUUCCCACGGAGUGACAACUGUUCAAUAACUACUGAGCAACUAAAGUUGGAAGAUAAGCCUAUAAAUAGCAGAAAGUUGCCGGUAGUAAUGAGUGGUCUUUUCCCGAAUUGAAGAUCAUCAUUUUAAGCUUCUUUUUUCUAUUCCCAGCAUUUACUUGUAUUUUCUAGAAGUAGCUUUAGCCUUAUAGUCUUUAAUACUUAGUUUUAGCCUAGAAUUUUGUAAACCGAGCCCUCGUGCUCUUUCCCUUGUAGCUUUCAAAGAUUUUCUAAGAUUGUUUUAAUGAAGUUCAUUUACUUCGACUCUCACUUCAACAGAAUCUAUGCAAAAUUUUGGGUUUAAUUCGUCUCUAAAAAAUUUUUACGUAUUGAGAAGAAACAUAGUCGAGCAGAUCCCUCUUCAACCCAUGGCUUGAUUUUAUCAGUCAAUCAGUCAACAUUUUGAGAGCUGAGGGUCAUCUCUUAAGCCGAGUUGAAAGUCAAGCGUGCUUUGACUCGGUCAACGUUUGACUCGAUCAACUGAUUUGGGAAUUAUUCGACCCAGGCUAACAAUAGUAGUAUUAAAUCAUACCAAUUUGUCAUGUAACUUUUAAUACAAUCGACAAAUCCACUCAUCACUGAUUCCUUUGCUUUUAUUGAGAGAGGCAUUCUCUCUUCCUAGCUUUUUGUCUUCUUUCUUUUUUUCUUUUGAACUAAACUGGAGUACUAUUAAUAGCACUAAGUUAUUGGUGCUAUUAGAUUUUCGACCUUUGGAUUAAGAAAUGUACGGUUAGGAUGAUAAUGAUGCCCUAGGGUUCAGUGGGUGGUUGGUUAAAUAGUAUAAUCUAACGGAUGAAAAUAAUCAAAAUGAUAAAUCUAACGUCAGAAAACUUGGUAACACAAAGUGUUUAGUGCUACUGAUAGCAUUAUAGCCGGACUCUUUUCUUUUUCAAAUUCUAUCUGUUUGAAUGUGAUGGGAGACUCCAACAAAUCUCACUAGUUAUUAUUGUAAAAGUAUGCUAUUGUUUAGAAUAAGUGGGACAUAUAGUUUGGCCUCAUUCCACUGUGACAACACUAAUUUUUUCAUCUUAUUCCAUGAAUAAUCCAAAAGAUAUUCUCUUAUUAGUUUGGUGUUAUUAUACUAUUUAAAGGUGGAAAAUGUAUAGAAAUUAUCUCACCUGUCGCCCAUUUUCAUCUUGACUAUCUAAUCUUUAAAGAUUUUGAUUUUUCUACCUAAAUUUUGAUUCUUUUUUUUAAAAAAAAAAUUUGAGUCAAUUAAUAACUCUUUAACUUUAAAUUUUGAAUACGUCAUUUAUCUUUACAAAUUUAAUUAAUAUAAUUUAUAUAAUUUAUGUGACUAUAAAUUCAUCAAAGUAGACAAGCGUAAAGUUUGUAUUAGAAGAAUUAUUAAAUGGCUUAAAUUAAAACAAUGGAGUGAUUGUGUGCUAAAAUUAAUAUUUUAGAAGAUUAGGUAGUCCAACAAAAUGGUCUGUAGUUUGGGUAAGUUCUACACAUUUUCACCAUAAUGUAAAUUAAUAGGUGAAAAUGUAUGAUAAUCCCCCCUCGUCUAAACGCAACUUUGGAAAUAGCCCCCUCAACUUCAUUAUUUUGAUUGAACCAUCUUUACUUUUUGAUUUCUGAGAAUCAAGUAAUUUUAGCCAAAUAAAUGAUGGGUUUUAUUGAAUUUAUUUAUGGCUCUAUCAAAUUCAAAUUCAAUGGUUUAAAAUCACUUUGUAGCAAAUAAGAGUUGAAGAAUCAAAGAUUAAUAUCUAGUAGAGUCACUAAAUUUGAUAAAAGUUUUUUUACUUUAUAACUAAGUAGAAGAACUCAAGCAAAACAAAAAAAAAAUAAAAACUUACAAAACUUACCUGAACUAUGGAUCAUUUUGAUUCGACUACUCAACCUAACAAUUUAUUUGAUUUGAGUCAAUCAACGGUACUUUGACUUUAAAACUUAACCUAAUUAAUUACUUAUUUUAAUGAGCUUACAGUUGCGAGAAUUGCAUAAAAUAUACUCUUAAAUUUGUAAAGAUAAACGAUACAUUCAAAUUUAAGUCAAAAUACCAUUGACUGACUCAAACCAAAUAGAUUGAAAAAUUAGAUAGUAAAAUUAAUAUUUUGAAAAAUGAUUAGUAAGAUCAAAAUGGUACGUAAUUCAGAUAUGUUCUAGAUGUUUUUACAAAAUAUAAAAGAUAAAGGGUUGUUUAUAAAAAAAAAAAAGGUAAAAUGUUGAGUAAAAGAGCUUUUUCAAAAUGGCAUAUUAAUGGCUCAGAUUAAAGAAAUAUAAGUCAAUGUGAUUAGUGCUUAAACAGUUAAAACCCACCAAUAAUUUCAGUAAAAAAAAGUUGCUUACAACAGCAUUAAGUGGUUUUCAUUAUGGUGAUGUAAAAGCUAAUUGGAGACUUACAUUGAGUCAAUGAAAAAAAGAUUUGCUCAUGCUUCUAGAGAAGUUUAACAUUGUUAGGGUAUACUAGAAAAAGGCAAUAUUAGUUGUACACCUAAAAAUGGAUGUAUAUUUUAUACCCAAUUCAUCCACUAGAUGGGUAGGAUUACAAAUGUCUACAUGUCGAAUUUGGUACGGAUUUUCAAAAACUUGAAACGAAAUCCGAAACCCAAAAUCUGAACCCGAACUCGAAUAUUGACGGAUUUUAAAAAUUCAUAUCCCAAUCGAACCCAAAUUCGAAAAUCGGAAUCCGAAACAAUUAUUCCUCUUUGCCAUAUUUCAAGUCUAAAUUUUCAAAAUACAAAUUCAAAUAUAACAUCAAAUGAUAUAUAUUAUUAUAAUGUAAAAUCUAUUUUGGUUCGGGUCAGGUAUAGACAAAAUUUAUGUUUGAAUUCAAAUCUAUCAGAUUUUUAUUUUUUAUACGCAUAUUGGAUAAAUCUGCUCAGUUCGGGCUCAGGUUUGGAUUCGAGUUCGACUAAAAUUUUUGAUAUCCAUAUUCAUUAAAAUUGCUUGGUAAGGUGUAAGAUAUACACCCGAUUUAGGAUGUACAAUAAUAUUUAUCUUAAUCAUAUGAGUGUUAUUCCCCGCUAUCCGGAAAAAAAUAAAAAAUAAAAAAUUCAGAAACAGCUUUCUAGCCGGAAAAGUAUUUUCCAUAUAUUUGGUAUCCACAAAUUUUUUUUUGCUUUUUUUUUUUAAGAUUUUAUGAAUAAGUUUUUUAUUUUGUUUUUUACAUUUCUUAUUCGAAAAAUAAAAAUUAUGAAAAGAAUAUUUUUCAUAAAAAAAUUUAAAAAAUCAAUUUCUCGAGUUUUUAAAUAACGCGUAUAGGGCACGAAACUCCCGAUUUUAGAAUAACUAAGAGUGAAAAACGCUUAUUCAAAGAAUCAUUACAUGAAAAGCAUUAAAUGGUCCAAUCAUUUCAAAAUGAAGAUAAUGUUCAAAAAAAGGAAAUCAAACUUAAUUUCCCUUCACAUAUCUUCUCCAAUACACAAACCAAGUCCUUCUCCUCUACGGCAGUUUAGCGAAAUUAGAACUAAACACUAAAAGAGGUCUUUGACUGCACGUAGUUGCAACUGUACUGCAGUUAUAACUAUAUGAAAUUUCAAAUCCGGUGUCUGGUUUAAGGAUCGUUUGGUUUGAUGUGAUUAAAAAUACAGUGUAGUUGGAGAUGCAGGAGUUAUAACUAUAAAUAUUUGGAUCGUUUGGUUUGAUGUGAUUAAAAAUACAGUAUAAUUGAAGAUGCAGCAGUUAUAACUAUAAAUAUUUUGUUUGGAUGAAUGCAAUAGAAAAACGUUGUAAUCAUAAGUAAUUUGUUUAAUUGUAUGUAGUUGAGAAAUGCGUUUGUAAACUAUUAUCAAAUUAUAUAUAUGAUGGAGAAAUUACCUUCGAUGUAAAAAAGAAAAAAAAAUAUUUAUAGUUAUAACUGCUGCAACUAUAAAUAUUUUGUUUGGAUGAAUGCAAUAGAAAAACGUUGUAAUCAUAAGUAAUUUGUUUAAUUGUAUGUAGUUGAGAAAUGCGUUUGUAAACUAUUAUCAAAUUAUAUAUAUGAUGGAGAAAUUACCUUCGAUGUAAAAAAGAAAAAAAAAUUGGUUUAAAAAGUAACUAAAGAGGAAAGCUUACCGCUUGUUUAAAGUUAGGGUAAACUUCAAAUAUCAUUCCUGUGGUUUUGCACUUUCUCAUUUUAGUAACCUGUAAUUUAAAGUGUAUCAAUUUAGUAUUCUGUGGUUUCAUUUUUUUUUAUUUUCGUCAAUCCCUCUGUUAAUUUUUUGUUAAAUCAUAUACAAAAAAUUUCGAAUACCCUACCUAUUAUUUUUCGAAUAUUUACUUCAGUACCAUUUAGUUUUAACUUUAUCACUGAUUUAACCAAAAAUACUAGUAGAGAGAUAACAAAAAAAGAAAAAUAAAAUCAUAGGAUACGUAAGUGAUAGACUUUAAACCACAUGGUACUAAAGUGAGAAAGUGUGAAAGCACAGUGGUGGUAUUUGAUGUUUUCCCUUAAAGUUACUCACUCCAGCAGUUUCAACUGGGCUUCUUCGUGCAAGUCCAACUACAAAAGUUGAAUUCAAAUGCAUCGAAUUAAACACCGAAUAUGAAUUUGCAUGUAAUUACAACUGUAGUACAGUUGCAACUACAUGCAAUCAAACAAUCCCUUAAUGCGGUUGAGUUUAACUGUUGCAGUUAAAACUAUAUGAGGAAGCCUAAUUGCAACGGUCAGAACUACGCUUAAAUUAGUUGUAAUUCCAACUGUAGCAGCUAGAGAGAGCAACUUUAAACAAAAAAGUAAACUUACCUCUCUAAUUAUUUUUAAAACAGAAAAUAUUUUCUUUUCUACAUUAGUGGUAAUCUCACUACCAUGAAUAUAAAGUGAUAAGAUUUUUCAAAUGCGCUUCUCAAUUAUAUACAACUAAAUAAAUGAUUUAUAGUUACAGUAUUUUCUACUGCAUCCAACCAAAUAAAAUACACGUAAUUAUAACUGUUAUAUUUUUAACUGUAUAUAUCUUCAACUAUUGUAUUUUUAAUUACAUAUAGUCAAAUAGUCCCUAGAAGGGGAUGUUUGGUUUUCGAAAAAGCAUGGAUUUUUUUUUUUUUUGAAAACAAAUUUGCAUAAAAAACACCUUUUCAUAAUUUUUAUUUUUCAGAUAAACAAUUGCAAAAAACAAAAAAUUACUUUUUAAUACAUUUAAUUUUUUUUUGGAAAAAAUUAUUUUCUUAUGAACCAAACGGAUGAAAAAUACUUUUCACAAUUUAACACAUUUUUAUUUUGUCAUCUUAUGGUCAAAAAGUUACACAUAAUUACCUUAUAAUUUUAUUCUAGCUUCGUCCUUA